AGCUGCCUCCAUUUCCUUAAGGAAGGGUUUUUUUCUCUCUCCCUCCACCACACCGUAGCCACGCGCGAGCGGGCCGGGCGGGCGGCCGAGUUUUCCAAGAAAUAACUUCACCAAGAUGUCCACUGAUAGGCAAAGGUCCGAUGAUGAGAGCCCCAACACCAGCGGUGGUAGUUCAGAUGCGGACCAGCGAGACCCAGCCGCUCCAGAGCCUGAAGAACAGGAAGAAAGAAAACCUUCUGCCACCAAGCAGAAGAAAAACACCAAACUCUCCAGCAAAACCCCUGCUAAGUUAUCUACUAGUGCUAAAAGAAUUCAGAAGGAGCUAGCUGAAAUAACUCUUGAUCCUCCUCCUAACUACAGUGCUGGACCUAAAGGAGAUAUAACAUUUAUGAAUGGAGAACGACUCUACUUGGUCCACCAGGUUCUGUAUAUGAAGGUGAUGUGUUUUUUCUGGAUAUCACUUUUUCAUCUAAUCAUCCAUUUAAGCCACCAAAGGUUACUUUCCGCACCAGAAUCUAUCACUGCAACAUCAACAGUCAGGGAGUCAUCUGUCUGGACAUCCUUAAAGACAACUGGAGUCCUGCUUUGACUAUUUCAAAGGUUUUGCUGUCAAUUUGUUCUCUUUUGACAGAUUGCAACCCUGCAGAUCCUCUGGUUGGAAGCAUAGCCAUUCAGUAUUUGACCAACAGAGCAGAACAUGACAGGAUAGCCAGACAGUGGACCAAAAGAUACGCCACAUAAUU
Molecule: non-coding RNA, 743 nt
Organism: Leptonychotes weddellii (Weddell seal)
Lineage: Eukaryota; Metazoa; Chordata; Mammalia; Carnivora; Phocidae
Source: RefSeq, a predicted model, not a curated record